This is a non-coding RNA of Macaca mulatta (Rhesus monkey), 112 nucleotides long. Lineage: Eukaryota; Metazoa; Chordata; Mammalia; Primates; Cercopithecidae. The record is from Rfam.
AUCUGCCAUCCAUUACUUUUUUUUUUUCCCUCUGAUCUCAGAAGUUAAGUAGGGUCGGGCCUGGUUAGUACUUGGAUGAGAGACCGCCUGGAAAUACUAGGUGCUGUAGAUU